Molecule: long non-coding RNA, 366 nt
Filed under: Mytilus galloprovincialis (Mediterranean mussel)
Lineage: Eukaryota; Metazoa; Mollusca; Bivalvia; Mytilida; Mytilidae
Source: RNAcentral
AUAACAACUCAUAAUGAGGCCAAAUAUGCAUACCCUUUCGGAUCACGUUACGUCACCUCAAGUUUUUCGUGGUAUACAUGUAAAUCAGUCUUUAGUUUUUAAUGUUUUAUAUUCUGGUGUUCUAAUUUAUUAUAUUUUUUUUUGCAAGGCGUUGUCAUAUUUGGCUAGGAUGAAAUUUGAAAAAAAUAGCCAGGACAGGAGUUUUGAGUAAAAAAAAAGGCAGGAUGAGACACUUGCAAAAAAAAAAAGUCAGGAUAAACUAAAAAAAAAAGGCAGGACCGAACAGAGUGAAAAAUAAAAAGGCAGGACAGAGAUUACAGCUAAAAAAAAUGCAGGACAAACUUUUUCAUCCUAGCCCCCCCCCCC